This 243-nucleotide ribosomal RNA is filed under the name uncultured bacterium. RNAcentral's name for it is "partial 16S ribosomal RNA". It matches the Rfam family "Bacterial small subunit ribosomal RNA", at positions 524 to 766 of the family's 1533-position model. The record is from RNAcentral.
UACGGGGGGAGCAAGCGUUGUUCGGAUUUACUGGGCGUAAAGCGCACGUAGGCGGAUUGUUAAGUCGGGGGUGAAAUCCUGGAGCUCAACUCCAGAACUGCCUUCGAUACUGGCAAUCUCGAGUCCGGGAGAGGUGAGUGGAACUGCGAGUGUAGAGGUGAAAUUCGUAGAUAUUAGGAAGAACACCAGUGGCGAAGGCGGCUCACUGGCCCGGUACUGACGCUGAGGCGCGAAAGCGUGGGG